AUUCCAUCCUUUCACUAAAGAUAUAAAGCCACUUUUUAUUGACAGAUGCCUCAUGUCAAUGUUCUGGAUUUUGAUGAAAGGAAAUUCCAUAUAGCCUACUGGACAGGACUUUGCUAUGGCAUCUUCUGUUUGGGUGUCUCAGGUCAGGACUUUGCUAUGGCAUCUUCUGUUUGGGUGUCUCAGGUCAGGACUUUGCUUUGGCAUCUUCUGUUUGGGUGUCUCAGGUCAGGUCUGAGCCAUAAUCAGAAUGUGUCGCUGUCUCUAUUUCCAGCCCUGCCAUUUCGACCAUGUCCUGAUCUAGUGUUUGACCCCUGACCUCCUCACACCAUCUCACUGUCCAUGUCUGCUUUUAGCUCCCACCUCUACUUCACUGUAUUAUAAUGGACCUUAUGCUUGUUAUGUCACCUCUGUAACCAGUUAACAAACAUAAGGACCUUUCUGACUCUAUCCCAUAGCCCUACUUCACUGUGUUAUAAUGGACCUUAUGCUUGUUAUGUCACCUCUGUAACCAGUUAACAAACAUAAUGACCUUUCUGACUCUAUCCCAUAGCCCUACUUCACUGUGUUAUAAUAGAUCUUAUGCUUGUUAUGUCACCUCUGUAACCAGUUAACAAACAUAAUGACCUUUCUGACUCUAUCCCAUAGCCCUACUUCACUGUGUUAUAAUAGAUCUUAUGCUUGUUAUGUCACCUCUGUAACCAGUUAACAAACAUAAUGACCUUUCUGACUCUAUCCCAUAGCCCUACUUCACUGUGUUAUAAUGGACCUUAUGCUUGUUAUGUCACCUCUGUAACCAGUUAACAAACAUAAUGACCUUUCUGACUCUAUCCCAUAGCCCUACUUCACUGUGUUAUAAUGGACCUUAUGCUUGUUAUGUCACCUCUGUAACCAGUUAACAAACAUACUGACCUUUCUGACUCUAUCCCAUGGCCCUACUUUCUAGAACUGAACAUUUCAAUUCCUCUAUGAGUUUGUUUUGUGUCCAUUUACUUAUUUAUGUAUGUAUUUGUUGUAUAUUGGGGUUGUGCUGCAGAGCAUCAUGGGUGUUUGUAUGUGUUGAGAUGAUCACGUUCCAGAUAAAUGUUUGAACUGA
This is a long non-coding RNA of Oncorhynchus tshawytscha (Chinook salmon), 1093 nucleotides long. RefSeq lists it as uncharacterized. The transcript has 2 exons. The record is from RefSeq and is a predicted model, not a curated record. NCBI's taxonomy places the organism in Eukaryota, Metazoa, Chordata, Actinopteri, Salmoniformes, Salmonidae.